This 76-nucleotide transfer RNA is filed under the name Deltaproteobacteria bacterium. RNAcentral describes it as "tRNA-Arg". It matches the Rfam family "tRNA". From Rfam's summary of the family: Transfer RNA (tRNA) molecules are approximately 80 nucleotides in length. Their secondary structure includes four short double-helical elements and three loops (D, anti-codon, and T loops). Lineage: Bacteria; Pseudomonadati; Myxococcota; Myxococcia. The record is from RNAcentral.
GCGGUAGUAGCUCAACGGAUAGAGCAGCUGACUUCGGAUCAGUUGGUUGAGGGUUCGAGUCCUUCCUACCGCGCCA